UUAAUUAUUUUAUUUUUAAAAAACCUUUGUCUUGGUGUAUUUCAAUAUAAGGAUCAUGCAACCCUUUACAUAUUUCCAUAUUUUCAGCAUAUUUUAUGCAAAUAGUUGUUAAAAAUGAAAAUUCUAAUUUCAAAUGAAGAAAAUUCAUGACAUGCAUCUUGUGUUGCAGUUUAAUCACUGUAUACCCGGGAAAGUAUUGACAGUUGUCCCGUGGAAGCUAUUAAAGUUCCUGUCCAAGGUUAAAUGAAAUUGCAGUUUAUCAGAGCAGCAUUGAGAAAAUAAGGGAAUCUGUUCAUGGCUCUUGAUUAAUGCCAAGCAUGAUCAACACAAGGGGGUUCAUUAAGCUAUACAUCAUGUGGGUAAUUUAACAUGUCAUCGUGCCUGCUGUCUGCUUUAACUCUCUGCAUAACCCAGUGUUCUGAACUUGUAUCAGCCUUGCACCUGAGGUGUUGUCUCCCAGACUUUGUCAUGCUUGGAUUGGCUCAACACUUUGUUUUUACACCAAUUCCUUUUUUAUGACCAUUCUGCUUUUUUAUGUACCAUUUACAAUUUCCACAGCUCUCUAUUUUUUUGUCUUGUCUAAAUAUGUGUAUAAUCUGGUAAGGUUUAUUCUAGAGAUGCAAGGAAUGUGUCCUUCAUUGUCUACAUUUUCCCUGAUUUUUAGGUGUUUCUACAUUUUGGGCAGUUGGCUUUGAACAAGGCAGUCAGAAUGAAAAGAAUUAGAUCCUGAUCUUGGGAGAGAACAGCCACCUCAAUUCCCAGUGAAGGGCUGCGUCUCCAUACAUGAUUGAUCCCCACAGCUUUCCACGUAACUGUUAACUCUGAAGGGUGGAGUACCCAAGGCUUUCUACAAACAAAUAUCUCCUGAUUACAUGCCAUUACCUGGGGGAUUUCAACCACACAAACAUCUGCUGAGAAGGCAGCAUAGCACUGUGCAAUCAAUCCAGGAAGUUUUUAGACUAUUGAGUGGAAUUUCAUAGCACAAAUGCCAACCAGAUCAUGCUUGACCAGCCUGGUUACUUGAUACGCUAGAAUGAGUGGCUAUGUGAAUACGGGAGGAAUGGUGGAUGCAGUGUUGUUUGACUUUUGCAAGGUUCUCAUGCCAUCUCCCACAGCCUUCUCGUAUAAGGAACUGCUAAAUUCAUUGAAACUUGUCUGGACUGUUGGACCCAGAGGUAUUUAUCAGUGGCUUCAUGCUCAGUUAGCUGAUAAUAAACAGACUACCAUGAGGUUGAUGAUACUGGGGUUGACACAGUUCAAUGUGUUCAUCAACAAAAGUGAUGAAACAGAAUGUGGUCUUAGCAAACUAGUAUUAGUUAAAAUGCUAAGCAGUAGAGAUUCAGUCCCGAGGGUCCUUGAGAAACUUGAGGAUUGAGACAACAUAAAAUCUAUUGAUUUCAGCAAGAAGUGCAGAGUUCUGCACUUGUGGCAGAGUAACCUCAUGUAGCAGUACAGGUGGGGAGAACCAGAUUGGCUGAAAAGGUCCUGAGGACACCAAGCUGACUAUAAGCCAAAAGUACACUCUUAUUGCAAAUCAGACAAAUCCUCUGCUUAACCAUAGGACUGAUGCUAGCAGAUUAAGGGAAGUUAUUAUCCUGUUAUGCUGGGUACUAAUGGUGCUGUACUGGGAAUAUUUGUAUCCUUGAGUUCUCCAGUUCUGAAGGGAUGUGUAGGAAAUGGA
This is a long non-coding RNA of Strigops habroptila (Kakapo), 1681 nucleotides long. The record is from Ensembl. NCBI's taxonomy places the organism in Eukaryota, Metazoa, Chordata, Aves, Psittaciformes, Psittacidae.